GUUUUUUGAGAAUAAUUUAAAGUCAAAUCUGCCCACUGAAUUUAUUUAAAGGGCUGCAGUAUAUUGACUGUACAAAGGUAGCAUAAUCAUUAGUCUUUUAAUUGAAGACUUGUAUGAAUGAUUUGAUGAGAUAUAAACUGUCUCUUUAUUAAAAAUAGAAUUUAAUUUUUUAGUUAAAAAGCUAAAAUAAUUAUAAAAGACGAGAAGACCCUAUAGAGUUUUAUAUUUUUAUAAAUUUAAAUUUAUAUAUUUAAAAUUUAAAUUUAUAAAAAUAUUUUAUUGGGGUGAUAGAAAAAUUUACAAAACUUUUUUUAAAAUUUAAACAUUUAUAUAUGAAUAUAUGAUCCAUAAUUUAUGAUUAUAAGAAUAAAUUACCUUAGGGAUAACAGCGUAAUUUUUUUUUUUAGUUCGUAUAAAAAUUAAAGUUUGCGACCUCGAUGUUGGAUUAAGAUAAAAUUUAAAUGCAAAAGUUUAAAAUUUUGAUCUGUUCGAUCAUUAAAAUCUUACA
Molecule: ribosomal RNA, 508 nt
Filed under: Colotis zoe
Lineage: Eukaryota; Metazoa; Arthropoda; Insecta; Lepidoptera; Pieridae
Description: partial 16S ribosomal RNA
Rfam family: Bacterial large subunit ribosomal RNA (bases 382-508)
Source: RNAcentral